RNAcentral lists this ribosomal RNA (468 nucleotides) under uncultured bacterium. Its description in RNAcentral is "partial 16S ribosomal RNA". It matches the Rfam family "Bacterial small subunit ribosomal RNA", at positions 28 to 507 of the family's 1533-position model. The record is from RNAcentral.
GACGAACGCUGGCGGCGUGCUUAACACAUGCAAGUCGAACGGAAAGGCCCUGCUUUUGUGGGGUGCUCGAGUGGCGAACGGGUGAGUAACACGUGAGUAACCUGCCCUUGACUUUGGGAUAACUUCAGGAAACUGGGGCUAAUACCGGAUAGGAGCUCCUGCUGCAUGGUGGGGGUUGGAAAGUUUCGGCGGUUGGGGAUGGACUCGCGGCUUAUCAGCUUGUUGGUGGGGUAGUGGCUUACCAAGGCUUUGACGGGUAGCCGGCCUGAGAGGGUGACCGGCCACAUUGGGACUGAAAUACGGCCCAGACUCCUACGGGAGGCAGCAGUGGGGAAUAUUGCACAAUGGGCGGAAGCCUGAUGCAGCAACGCCGCGUGCGGGAUGACGGCCUUCGGGUUGUGAACCGCUUUCGCCUGUGACGAAGCGUGAGUGACGGUAAUGGGUAAAGAAGCACCGGCUAACUACGUG